Molecule: long non-coding RNA, 374 nt
Filed under: Brassica napus (rape)
Lineage: Eukaryota; Viridiplantae; Streptophyta; Magnoliopsida; Brassicales; Brassicaceae
Description: long non-coding RNA (BNAP_LNC003500)
Source: RNAcentral
CUUAUUCCUAGCACAUGCACAUAUAUAGACUUCUUAGUCCAAGACAUGCACAGCAACAGCUCUCUAAGACACAAACCUUCCUUCCUUCCUUCUCUCUCUCUCUCUCUCUCUCUCUCUCUCUCUCUCUCUCUCUCUCUCUCACACACACACACACACACACACACAUCAAUAUUAGGGUUCUUGAUGGAGAAAGAAGAAUGCAGCAGUAGUGAAUCCGGUUGGACGACUUAUAUUUCGUCGCCAAUUAAAGUAGAUGAAGAUGACGUUGUGGAUGAGGGCUAUUAUGAAGGGUAUAACAUCUAUAACUACUAUAGAAAAGGAGAAAAUGAAGAAGAGAAGAAUAAAGAUAGCGAUGAUUCAAUGGCCUCGGAUGC